RNAcentral lists this ribosomal RNA (442 nucleotides) under uncultured bacterium. RNAcentral's name for it is "SSU rRNA". It matches the Rfam family "Bacterial small subunit ribosomal RNA", at positions 26 to 518 of the family's 1533-position model. The record is from RNAcentral.
AGAGCGAACGCUGGCGGCAGGCCUAACACAUGCAAGUCGAGCGCCCGUAGCAAUACGGGAGCGGCAGACGGGAUAGUAACACGUGGGAACGCGCCCUUCGGUUCGGAAUAACUCAGGGAAACUUGAGCUAAUACCGGAUACGCCCUUACGGGGAAAGAUUUAUUGCCGAAGGAACGGCCCGCGUCCGAUUAGCUAGUUGGUGAGGUAAUGGCUCACCAAGGCGACGAUCGGUAGCUGGUCUGAGAGGAUGACCAGCAUCACUGGGACUGAGACACGGCCCAGACUCCUACGGGAGGCAGCAGUGGGGAAUAUGGACAAUGGGCGCAAGCCUGAUCCAGCCAUGCCGCGUGGAUGAUGAAGGCCUUAGGGUGUAAAGUCCUUUAACGGGAAGAUAAUGACGGUACCGUAGAAUAAGCCCGGCUAACUUCGUGCCAGCAGCCGC